This is a long non-coding RNA of Austrofundulus limnaeus, 718 nucleotides long. RefSeq lists it as uncharacterized. NCBI's taxonomy places the organism in Eukaryota, Metazoa, Chordata, Actinopteri, Cyprinodontiformes, Rivulidae. The record is from RefSeq and is a predicted model, not a curated record. The transcript is spliced from 2 exons.
GCAUGACUUUAGUGCAACAUUUGUAACUUUUUUACGAAGAUUCAAGCCAUUAUUGAUUUAUAGAUCCAUGAAUUUGUGAAUUAUAUUAAAAAAAUUAAAUAAAAACACAUUUUAGAUGUUGUAAGUCCACUUACAAAGCUUGCUAGCCCACUAGAACUGUUUGUUUGGUCUCCCGCUUUGAGUCAGCUAAAACUUUGCUGUGUUCCAUUUAAAUAGGAAGUUGAUGCAAGCACAUGUGUUGCAGGAGCUGUACUUCUGCAAGAAGAUGAUCAAGGAUGAAAGACUCGAACCACCGACUUAUGUGUUGGUCACUUUUGGUGCAGGACUUUCAUUUACAAAUAAACUACAAAUAGGAUAAGAAGAAAAUGUUAGCAUACACCUUAGGUCUGUGUGUAAAAUGUAGCUGUUUGGGAAAAUUAAACCUAUUUUUAUGAUAUAACAUCUAUAUCAUCUGCUUCUCCUAUCGUCAAAAGGUGGUUAAUUGAAUUUCCGAUUAUUAUCUCACUUUAGCCCUGACAAAUAAUAAAUAUGUAGAGAAACAAAGAAAUGGAUAAUGUUUCACAUUUUUAUUGCUCCAAGAUAAGCAACAUAAUAGGUGAACCAGCCCAACAGGAUGACAUGAUCAGAAACUGUCCUGUACAAAGGAAGGUACAGAAUGACGUCUAAUCUAAAAAAAAAAAUAACAUCUUAUUAUUGCAAAAUAUUUCUCGUUGAAAAA